RNAcentral lists this ribosomal RNA (1332 nucleotides) under uncultured bacterium. RNAcentral describes it as "bacterial SSU rRNA". It matches the Rfam family "Bacterial small subunit ribosomal RNA", at positions 28 to 1381 of the family's 1533-position model. The record is from RNAcentral.
GACGAACGCUGGCGGCGCGCCUAACACAUGCAAGUCGAACGAGCGAGAGAGAGCUUGCUUUCUCGAGCGAGUGGCGAACGGGUGAGUAACGCGUGAGGAACCUGCCUCAAAGAGGGGGACAACAGUUGGAAACGACUGCUAAUACCGCAUAAGCCCACGGCUCGGCAUCGAGCAGAGGGAAAAGGAGCAAUCCGCUUUGAGAUGGCCUCGCGUCCGAUUAGCUAGUUGGUGAGGUAAUGGCCCACCAAGGCAACGAUCGGUAGCCGGACUGAGAGGUUGAACGGCCACAUUGGGACUGAGACACGGCCCAGACUCCUACGGGAGGCAGCAGUGGGGAAUAUUGCACAAUGGGGGAAACCCUGAUGCAGCGACGCCGCGUGGAGGAAGAAGGUCUUCGGAUUGUAAACUCCUGUUGUUGGGGAAGAUAAUGACGGUACCCAACAAGGAAGUGACGGCUAACUACGUGCCAGCAGCCGCGGUAAAACGUAGGUCACAAGCGUUGUCCGGAAUUACUGGGUGUAAAGGGAGCGCAGGCGGGAAGACAAGUUGGAAGUGAAAUCUAUGGGCUCAACCCAUAAACUGCUUUCAAAACUGUUUUUCUUGAGUAGUGCAGAGGUAGGCGGAAUUCCCGGUGUAGCGGUGGAAUGCGUAGAUAUCGGGAGGAACACCAGUGGCGAAGGCGGCCUACUGGGCACCAACUGACGCUGAGGCUCGAAAGUGUGGGUAGCAAACAGGAUUAGAUACCCCGGUAGUCCACACCGUAAACGAUGAUUACUAGGUGUUGGAGGAUUGACCCCUUCAGUGCCGCAGUUAACACAAUAAGUAAUCCACCUGGGGAGUACGACCGCAAGGUUGAAACUCAAAGGAAUUGACGGGGGCCCGCACAAGCAGUGGAGUAUGUGGUUUAAUUCGACGCAACGCGAAGAACCUUACCAAGUCUUGACAUCCCUUGACAGACAUAGAAAUAUGUAUUCUCUUCGGAGCAAGGAGACAGGUGGUGCAUGGUUGUCGUCAGCUCGUGUCGUGAGAUGUUGGGUUAAGUCCCGCAACGAGCGCAACCCUUAUGGUCAGUUACUACGCAAGAGGACUCUGGCCAGACUGCCGUUGACAAAACGGAGGAAGGUGGGGAUGACGUCAAAUCAUCAUGCCCUUUAUGACUUGGGCUACACACGUACUACAAUGGCGUUAAACAAAGAGAAGCAAGACCGCGAGGUGGAGCAAAACUCGGAAACAACGUCCCAGUUCGGACUGCAGGCUGCAACUCGCCUGCACGAAGUCGGAAUUGCUAGUAAUCGUGGAUCAGCAUGCCACGGUGAAUACGUUCCCGGGCCU